Non-coding RNA from Nelumbo nucifera (sacred lotus), 72 nucleotides. The record is from Rfam. Lineage: Eukaryota; Viridiplantae; Streptophyta; Magnoliopsida; Proteales; Nelumbonaceae.
GUCGUUGUGGUAUAGUGGUGAGUAUUCCCACCUGUCACGCCGGUGACCCGGGUUCGAUCCCUGGCAACGGCG